GAGAUGUGCUCUCCUUCGGGCAAUGGAUACAGGUGGUGCAUGGUUGUCGUCAGCUCGUGCCGUGAGGUGUUGGGUUAAGUCCCGCAACGAGCGCAACCCUCAUUGUUAGUUACUACCAUUCAGUUGAGGACUCUAAUGAGACUGCCAACGAUAAGUUGGAGGAAGGUGGGGAUGACGUCAAAUCAUCAUGCCCUUUAUGACCUGGGCUACAAACGUACUACAAUGGCCGGUACAAAGAGAUGCGAAGUGGCGACAUGGAGCGAACCUCAGAAAGCCGGUCUCAGUUCAGAUUGAAGUCUGCAACUCGACUUCAUGAAGGCGGAAUCGCUAGUAAUCGCGGGUCAGCAGACCGCGGUGAAUACGUUCCCGGGUUUU
This 375-nucleotide ribosomal RNA is filed under the name uncultured Mollicutes bacterium. RNAcentral's name for it is "bacterial SSU rRNA". It matches the Rfam family "Bacterial small subunit ribosomal RNA", at positions 1003 to 1382 of the family's 1533-position model. The record is from RNAcentral. Lineage: Bacteria; Bacillati; Mycoplasmatota; Mollicutes.